This 429-nucleotide ribosomal RNA is filed under the name Chloroflexota bacterium. RNAcentral describes it as "Chloroflexi bacterium partial 16S ribosomal RNA". It matches the Rfam family "Bacterial small subunit ribosomal RNA", at positions 355 to 776 of the family's 1533-position model. Lineage: Bacteria; Bacillati; Chloroflexota. The record is from RNAcentral.
UAGGGAAUCUUCGGCAAUGGACGAAAGUCUGACCGAGCAACGCCGCGUGAGUGAAGAAGGUUUUCGGAUCGUAAAACUCUGUUGUUAGAGAAGAACAAGGACGUUAGUAACUGAACGUCCCCUGACGGUAUCUAACCAGAAAGCCACGGCUAACUACGUGCCAGCAGCCGCGGUAAUACGUAGGUGGCAAGCGUUGUCCGGAUUUAUUGGGCGUAAAGCGAGCGCAGGCGGUUUCUUAAGUCUGAUGUGAAAGCCCCCGGCUCAACCGGGGAGGGUCAUUGGAAACUGGGGGAGUGGAGUGAAGAAGAGGAGAGUGGAAUUCCAGGUGUAGCGGUGAAAUGCGUGGAUAUAUGGAGGAACACCAGUGGCGAAGGCGGCUCUCUGGUCUGUAACUGACGCUGAGGCUCGAAAGCGUGGGGAGCAAACAGG